UUUUUUUUUGUGUGUGCUCUGCUUGCUGCUCAAAUUCCCAUCCGAAAGGAAAAAGCCCCAAAGCUCCCUUCUUUCACUUGAAGCCCUCUUUGCGCAAUUCACUCGAAGCUCUCGUUUUUCACUCGAAGCCCUAAGGACGAAUUCUUCCCUCAUUGAGCAACAGUACUCUCCAAAUUAGAACUUUAGGUUUUGGAUUUUUGGAAGAAUUUGUUUCUUUGUACAAGAAUCACAGUUUGCUUCUCGAGAAAUCGUCCUGAUUCAGCUUGCACAAAAACUCCAUCUAGAUACAAAUAAAGAUGACCCUGAAGCUGAAGAGAAGUUCCGAGAAGUUCAAAAGGCUUAUGAGAUGAAGAAGUUGAUGAGUCGCCCUCAGUUCUUGGGGAAAAUGGAGAAGAUGGUUUUAUACCGAAGAGCUUUACA
Morus notabilis is the source of this 420-nucleotide long non-coding RNA. RefSeq lists it as uncharacterized. The transcript has 3 exons. NCBI's taxonomy places the organism in Eukaryota, Viridiplantae, Streptophyta, Magnoliopsida, Rosales, Moraceae. The record is from RefSeq and is a predicted model, not a curated record.